GGUUAAGCGACUAAGCGUACACGGUGGAUGCCCUGGCAGUCAGAGGCGAUGAAGGACGUGCUAAUCUGCGAAAAGCGCCGGCGAGGUGAUAUGAACCCUUGACCCGGCGAUGUCCGAAUGGGGAAACCCAGUGCAAUCCGUUGCACUAUCGUUAACUGAAUACAUAGGUUAACGAGGCGAACCGGGGGAACUGAAACAUCUAAGUACCCCGAGGAAAAGAAAUCAACCGAGAUUCCCCCAGUAGCGGCGAGCGAACGGGGAGCAGCCCGGAGUCUGAAUCAGCUUGUGUGUUAGUGGAACGGUCUGGAAAGUCCGACGGUACAGGGUGAUAGUCCCGUACACGAAAGCACACUUGCUGUGAACUCGAAGAGUAGGGCGGGACACGUGGUAUCCUGUCUGAAUAUGGGGGGACCAUCCUCCAAGGCUAAAUACUCCUGACUGACCGAUAGUGAACCAGUACCGUGAGGGAAAGGCGAAAAGAACCCCGGCGAGGGGAGUGAAAAAGAACCUGAAACCGUGUACGUACAAGCAGUGGGAGCCUCUUUAUGGGGUGACUGCGUACCUUUUGUAUAAUGGGUCAGCGACUUAUAUUCUGUAGCAAGGUUAACCGUAUAGGGGAGCCGAAGGGAAACCGAGUCUUAACUGGGCGUUAAGUUGCAGGGUAUAGACCCGAAACCCGGUGAUCUAGCCAUGGGCAGGUUGAAGGUUGGGUAACACUAACUGGAGGACCGAACCGACUAAUGUUGAAAAAUUAGCGGAUGACCUGUGGCUGGGGGUGAAAGGCCAAUCAAACCGGGAGAUAGCUGGUUCUCCCCGAAAGCUAUUUAGGUAGCGCCUCGUGAACUCAUCUUCGGGGGUAGAGCACUGUUUCGGCUAGGGGGCCAUCCCGGCUUACCAACCCGAUGCAAACUACGAAUACCGAAGAAUGUUAUCACGGGAGACACACGGCGGGUGCUAACGUCCGUCGUGAAGAGGGAAACAACCCAGACCGCCAGCUAAGGUCCCAAAGUCAUGGUUAAGUGGGAAACGAUGUGGGAAGGCACAGACAGCCAGGAUGUUGGCUUAGAAGCAGCCAUCAUUUAAAGAAAGCGUAAUAGCUCACUGGUCGAGUCGGCCUGCGCGGAAGAUGUAACGGGGCUAAACCAUGCACCGAAGCUGCGGCAGCGACACUAUGUGUUGUUGGGUAGGGGAGCGUUCUGUAAGCCGUUGAAGGUGUGCUGUGAGGCAUGCUGGAGGUAUCAGAAGUGCGAAUGCUGACAUAAGUAACGAUAAAGCGGGUGAAAAGCCCGCUCGCCGGAAGACCAAGGGUUCCUGUCCAACGUUAAUCGGGGCAGGGUGAGUCGACCCCUAAGGCGAGGCCGAAAGGCGUAGUCGAUGGGAAACAGGUUAAUAUUCCUGUACUUGGUGUUACUGCGAAGGGGGGACGGAGAAGGCUAUGUCAGCCGGGCGACGGUUGUCCCGGUUUAAGCAUGUAGGCGGAGGUUCCAGGUAAAUCCGGUACCUUUUAACGCUGAGGUGUGAUGACGAGGCACUACGGUGCUGAAGUGAUAAAUGCCCUGCUUCCAGGAAAAGCCUCUAAGCAUCAGGUAACACGAAAUCGUACCCCAAACCGACACAGGUGGUCAGGUAGAGAAUACCAAGGCGCUUGAGAGAACUCGGGUGAAGGAACUAGGCAAAAUGGUGCCGUAACUUCGGGAGAAGGCACGCUGAUGUGUAGGUGAAGCCCCUGCGGGCGGAGCUGAAAUCAGUCGAAGAUACCAGCUGGCUGCAACUGUUUAUUAAAAACACAGCACUGUGCAAACACGAAAGUGGACGUAUACGGUGUGACGCCUGCCCGGUGCCGGAAGGUUAAUUGAUGGGGUUAGCUGUAAGGCGAAGCUCUUGAUCGAAGCCCCGGUAAACGGCGGCCGUAACUAUAACGGUCCUAAGGUAGCGAAAUUCCUUGUCGGGUAAGUUCCGACCUGCACGAAUGGCGUAAUGAUGGCCAGGCUGUCUCCACCCGAGACUCAGUGAAAUUGAACUCGCUGUGAAGAUGCAGUGUACCCGCGGCAAGACGGAAAGACCCCGUGAACCUUUACUAUAGCUUGACACUGAACACUGGUCCUUGAUGUGUAGGAUAGGUGGGAGGCUUUGAAGCGUGGACGCCAGUCUGCGUGGAGCCAACCUUGAAAUACCACCCUUUAAUGGCUGGUGUUCUAACGUAGACCCGUAAUCCGGGUUGCGGACAGUGUCUGGUGGGUAGUUUGACUGGGGCGGUCUCCUCCCAAAGAGUAACGGAGGAGCACGAAGGUUGGCUAAUCCUGGUCGGACAUCAGGAGGUUAGUGCAAUGGCAUAAGCCAGCUUGACUGCGAGCGUGACGGCGCGAGCAGGUGCGAAAGCAGGUCAUAGUGAUCCGGUGGUUCUGAAUGGAAGGGCCAUCGCUCAACGGAUAAAAGGUACUCCGGGGAUAACAGGCUGAUACCGCCCAAGAGUUCAUAUCGACGGCGGUGUUUGGCACCUCGAUGUCGGCUCAUCACAUCCUGGGGCUGAAGUAGGUCCCAAGGGUAUGGCUGUUCGCCAUUUAAAGUGGUACGCGAGCUGGGUUUAGAACGUCGUGAGACAGUUCGGUCCCUAUCUGCCGUGGGCGCUGGAGAAUUGAGGGGGGCUGCUCCUAGUACGAGAGGACCGGAGUGGACGCAUCACUGGUGUUCGGGUUGUCAUGCCAAUGGCACUGCCCGGUAGCUAAAUGCGGAAGAGAUAAGUGCUGAAAGCAUCUAAGCACGAAACUUGCCCCGAGAUGAGUUCUCCCUGAGACUUUAAGUCUCCUGAAGGAACGUUGAAGACGACGACGUUGAUAGGUCGGGUGUGUAAGCGCAGCGAUGCGUUGAGCUAACCGAUACUAAUGAACCGUGAGGCUUAACCUU
This 2904-nucleotide ribosomal RNA is filed under the name Enterobacter hormaechei. Its description in RNAcentral is "23S ribosomal RNA". It matches the Rfam family "Bacterial large subunit ribosomal RNA". RNAcentral also lists the same sequence under 2 other names. The record is from RNAcentral. Lineage: Bacteria; Pseudomonadati; Pseudomonadota; Gammaproteobacteria; Enterobacterales; Enterobacteriaceae.